GAAAAAGCUGAGAAGGUGUAAAGUAGGUACUUAUUUUCUUUCAGAGAGGGAAGGUCAUCGGCUGAGAGCCAUCCUAAGUUCAGAUAAGUAGUUGAAUUUCCCACCAGAGCUGCAUCUCUGAAUUUAUAGUAGGAGAUGACGUUAAUACACGUUACGUAUACUGAGUGCCUACGAAAAUGUAGGAAACAGGGUGGUACCGCGAUAUCUUCGUCCCUUUA
Molecule: non-coding RNA, 218 nt
Filed under: Clostridiales bacterium
Lineage: Bacteria; Bacillati; Bacillota; Clostridia; Eubacteriales
Description: T-box sequence
Rfam family: T-box leader
About the family: Uncharged tRNA acts as the effector for transcription antitermination of genes in the T-box leader family. T-boxes are found upstream of many aminoacyl-tRNA synthetase genes and some amino acid biosynthetic genes usually in Gram-positive bacteria.
Source: RNAcentral